UCUGAGGCAGUACUGCCAGAGAGAGGGGAAGAGAAGUGAAGAUCCGUUCGGCAGAGUAGCUGUUGACAUUAUACUUGCGCAGGCACUUUGGUGACUCUAGAGAACCUCGGGCCAAUCACACGUCCCCGUGACGUCGACUUUGCAUUCGGAUGUCUGCCCUAUCAACUUUCGAUGCCACUUUCUGCACCUAUCAUGGUGACCACGGAUAACAGGGAAUCAGGGUUCGAUUCCGGAGAGGGAACCUGAGAAACGGCUACCACAUCCAAGGAUUGCAGCAGGCGCGCAAAUUACCCACUCCCGAUGCGGGGAUGUAGUGAUGA
This is a non-coding RNA of Pelobates cultripes (western spadefoot toad), 320 nucleotides long. NCBI's taxonomy places the organism in Eukaryota, Metazoa, Chordata, Amphibia, Anura, Pelobatidae. The record is from the annotation of a GenBank genome assembly.